AUCGACAAUCCCCGAUAANUUUCACUUUAUUCUAAAUUUAUAUACCGCCAUCUCAAGAGUCAAUUAAAAAAUACUUCUCCCAAAAACUAAUAAAAAGUUAGGUCAAGGUGUAAUUAAUAAUAAAGAACAAGAUUAAUUACACUAAAUACGAUUAAAAGAUUAUAAAUAAAACAACUUAUACAAAUAAGAAUUUAAAAGUAAUAUUAAAAUAAUAAUAUAAUAUGAUAUAUACAAUAAAUGUGCACACAUCGCCC
RNAcentral lists this ribosomal RNA (254 nucleotides) under Draconarius sp. ZZ001. RNAcentral's name for it is "partial 12S ribosomal RNA". Lineage: Eukaryota; Metazoa; Arthropoda; Arachnida; Araneae; Agelenidae. The record is from RNAcentral.